GACGAACGCUGGCGGCGUGCUAUACAUGCAAGUAGAACGCUGAAGAGAGGAGCUUGCUCUUCUUGGAUGAGUUGCGAACGGGUGAGUACGCGUAGGUAACCUGCCUUGUAGCGGGGGAUAACUAUUGGAAACGAUAGCUAAUACCGCAUAACAAUGGAUGACACAUGUCAUUUAUUUGAAAGGGGCAAUUGCUCCACUACAAGAUGGACCUGCGUUGUAUUAGCUAGUAGGUGAGGUAACGGCUCACCUAGGCGACGAUACAUAGCCGACCUGAGAGGGUGAUCGGCCACACUGGGACUGAGACACGGCCCAGACUCCUACGGGAGGCAGCAGUAGGGAAUCUUCGGCAAUGGGGGCAACCCUGACCGAGCAACGCCGCGUGAGUGAAGAAGGUUUUCGGAUCGUAAAGCUCUGUUGUAAGUCAAGAACGAGUGUGAGAGUGGAAAGUUCACACUGUGACGGUAGCUUACCAGAAAGGGACGGCUAACUACGUGCCAGCAGCCGCGGUAAUACGUAGGUCCCGAGCGUUGUCCGGAUUUAUUGGGGCGUAAAGCGAGCGCAGGCGGUUUGAUAAGUCUGAAGUUAAAGGCUGUGGCUCAACCAUAGUUCGCUUUGGAAACUGUCAAACUUGAGUGCAGAAGGGGAGAGUGGAAUUCCAUGUGUAGCGGUGAGAUGCGUAGAUAUAUGGAGGAACACCGGUGGCGAAAGCGGCUCUCUGGUCUGUAACUGACGCUGAGCUCGAAAGCGUGGGAGCGAACAGG
Molecule: ribosomal RNA, 761 nt
Filed under: uncultured Streptococcus sp.
Lineage: Bacteria; Bacillati; Bacillota; Bacilli; Lactobacillales; Streptococcaceae
Description: bacterial SSU rRNA
Rfam family: Bacterial small subunit ribosomal RNA
Source: RNAcentral